GCUUCUGUUCUUUGUUCCCUGUAUUUAUAUGCAGGCCCAACGGGAGUUGAGACCCAGUCGACGUAGAUAUUGCAGGUGCACGUGUGGAACGUGAGUCUAAGAGUGAUGGAGAUCCAACUUCGAGAUCGCAGCAACAAGGUGCGUUAUGAAUUCCGACUGGUGGCCCGCGAGGUCACCCAUGAGGUCUAUGAUGUCCCGGAGGACAAUCAGGUCCUCUUUGCCUACCAAUUUGAGCGCCAGACCCGAGGUCCUUCACACGUACUGGAGCUGGCACAGCUGUCAGGAGGUGGUCGGAGACACCAGGUGGCAUGUGGUGCCUUGUCCUUUAGCCUGGCUGAUCGAUCCAUGGAUGAAGCAGGUUCCAUGUUUGACAGUAGCUUCUACCACAUGAUCACUUUCCUGUUUGUCAAACCUGAGCACCAGAGGACAGGAGUAGGCCGACAGCUGAUGCAGGCGGCCCUCAAACAUAUGGCAGCCCACGAGCCUAGUAGGCCAGUCAGAGUGGAGAGUGCGCUUGGAGCAGCCUACUUCUUCGAAAAACUUGGCUUUGUUCGAGUUGGUGAACCGUUUGAGACUGUGUGUUCGGGCUCCAGAUUGUUCAGAUCUAUGGUUAAUAUGGAGCAUGAAGCUCCAAGAUGUGACCCUUGAACAGCGUAUGUUCACAGAUGAAGAGAUUAUGCCAAUAGUGAAAUGUUGCUCAAGACAGCAUGCAGUCACGGAGGAAGAGGUUGUUAGAUGUUGCUCAGGAGAGCAUGCUGUUACGGAGGAAGAGGUUGUUAGAUGUUGCUCAACACAGCAUGCAGUCAUGGAGGAAGAGGUUGUUAGAUGUUGCUCAAGACAGCAUGCAGUCAAGGAGGAAGAGGUUGUUAGAUGUUGCUCAAGACAGCAUGCAGUCAUGGAGGAAGAGGUUGUGCGAUGUUGCUCAGGAGAGCAUGCAGUCACGGAGGAAGAGGUUGUUAGAUGUUGCUCAAGACAGCAUGCAGUCACGGAGGAAGAGGUUGUUAGAUGUUGCUAAAGACAGCAUGCAGCCACAGAGGAAGAGGCUGUGCGGUGUUGCUCAGGACAGCAUGCUGUCAUGGAGGAAGAGGCUGUGCGAUAUUGUGGGAUCACUGAGGGAUAGUAUGACGAUGAUGAGGAAGCUGAGGCAGAUGACGUCAGUGUAAGCAUGGGGGGAACACUGAUAAACUGUUUUGUCCAUAAUAAUGUUACUUCAUCAAGGAUUGGUGGAAUGGUUUUAAUCACAUUGUCUGCUGUGACAAAUAUAUUUUCAAACUGUUACGUACAUGAUGACACUGAUGAAAUGAAUAUUAUCAAAUUGCUUUGAAAUACAGAUUUUCAUAUUGCUGAUGUUCUAUAAACAUGGUGGAAGUUUG
Molecule: unclassified non-coding RNA, 1373 nt
Filed under: Haliotis rufescens (red abalone)
Lineage: Eukaryota; Metazoa; Mollusca; Gastropoda; Lepetellida; Haliotidae
Description: uncharacterized LOC124111770, transcript variant X2
Source: RNAcentral